RNAcentral lists this long non-coding RNA (1023 nucleotides) under Pan troglodytes (chimpanzee). RNAcentral's name for it is "lincRNA". Lineage: Eukaryota; Metazoa; Chordata; Mammalia; Primates; Hominidae. The record is from RNAcentral.
CUCUGUUCACGGAAAGGGCCUGGGAGCUGCAACACCUCAACAGCAACAAGCACACCUGCUACCUAGAACUUGGUUUCUAAAAACCAUCCUCCUCUAAAAGGAAACAGAGCUCUUUGAAGAAAUGGUAUUGUAAUAAUACUGCGUGACAUUACGGACAACUUAGCCUAAAUUACGGAAAAUCAAAUUAUUUAGUAGAACUGCAAGACAAUCCUCUCGGUUGUUGUACAGAAGGUAAGCAUGAGCAAAUCACUUUUUAGAGGUAACUUUGCUGGACUUGUGAAGAAUGGUGUGCAAGGUCCAGAGCGACUGCAGGAGAGGGAAGGUGGGAUUCCCACAGAGCAGGAGCACAGAUGAGCCAAGCAAGGCCCUGCUUAGAAGGCAGCAAUCAACAGAGAUGCACAGACCUGUGAGGGUGCCGGGACAGCCAUGCAACAAUGCAGCCCUUUUGCUUCCUAAGGUCACCAGUUCCCUCGCUCCACCUCUGAGAGGUGGUUUGGAGAAACACAGCCCUUCUCAAGAGGGUUGCAAGCUACUUAAGUACUGAAAAUUUCCACAAGGCUGAGUCAAAUCUGCAUUUCAUCAUCUAUAAGAAAGGUACCUAUCGAGAACACCCUGCUGGCCAGUGUGUAAAUAUCUAAAGGAGGACUCAGAAAACACCGGGGAAGUCCAGCCUGCACGUGGUGGCUGGGCUUCAGUGAAGCAUGGAGCACAACAGGAGUUGUAAGUAGUAGUUACAUCAGCAGCCCUGGAAAUUCUGCUCAGGACCAAACUGAACAAAUAACAUUAUCUAAAGCUUACAAUUAUUUAACUCCCUAAAUUUUCUGUCCUCCCAGUAGCACUUUCAAAUGCCUAAAAGCAAUUAAAAGAAACAUUUUUCCAAUGUCUCACAGAACCAUUAGAACACAAAAUUAAUAGCUUCAUAAACUAUAGCUUCUAUGUUAUCCAUAAUAGAAUGAAGGUGCAUAAACCACAUAGUAAUUAAUCUUUGGACAAAAGCAAACAAUAAAUGGAAUAUAUGGCUAA